GCUUACGACCGUAUCACGUUGAAAGCACCGGUUCUCGUCUGAUCACCGAAGCUAAGCAACGUCGAGCCAAGUGAGUACUUAGAUGGGUGACUGCUUGAGAAACCUUGGUGCUGUAAGUG
Molecule: ribosomal RNA, 119 nt
Filed under: Octopus bimaculoides (California two-spot octopus)
Lineage: Eukaryota; Metazoa; Mollusca; Cephalopoda; Octopoda; Octopodidae
Source: RNAcentral